GACGCAGUAGGAUAGGCGAAGCGUGCUGUUGGAGUGCACGUCCAAGCAGUGAGAUUGAGUGUUAGGCAAAUCCGGCACUCUUAAGAUUGAGCUGUGAUGGGGAGAGGAACUUGUUCCUCGAGUCGUUGAUUUCACACUGCCGAGAAAAGCCUCUAGCUAGAAUAACGGUGCCCGUACCGCAAACCGACACAGGUAGUCAAGAUGAGAAUUCUAAGGUGAGCGAGCGAACUCUCGUUAAGGAACUCGGCAAAAUGACCCCGUAACUUCGGGAGAAGGGGUGCUCUUUGAGGUUCACGCUUCGAAGAGCCGCAGUGAAUAGGCCCAAGCGACUGUUUAUCAAAAACACAGGUCUCUGCUAAACCGUAAGGUGACGUAUAGGGGCUGACGCCUGCCCGGUGCUGGAAGGUUAAGAGGAGUGGUUAGCGCAAGCGAAGCUACGAAUCGAAGCCCCAGUAAACGGCGGCCGUAACUAUAACGGUCCUAAGGUAGCGAAAUUCCUUGUCGGGUAAGUUCCGACCCGCACGAAAGGCGUAACGAUUUGGGCACUGUCUCAACGAGAGACUCGGUGAAAUCAUAGUACCGGUGAAGAUGCCGGUUACCCGCGACAGGACGGAAAGACCCCGUGGAGCUUUACUGUAGCCUGAUAUUGAAAUUCGGUACAGUUUGUACAGGAUAGGUAGGAGCCUUAGAAGCGUGAGCGCUAGCUUACGUGGAGGCAUUGGUGGGAUACUACCCUAAUUGUAUUGGAUUUCUAACCCGCAGCACUUAUCGUGCUGGGAGACAGUGUCAGGCGGGCAGUUUGACUGGGGCGGUCGCCUCCUAAAGAGUAACGGAGGCGCUCAAAGGUUCCCUCAGAAUGGUUGGAAAUCAUUCAUAGAGUGUAAAGGCAUAAGGGAGCUUGACUGCGAGACCUACAAGUCGAGCAGGGUCGAAAGACGGA
Molecule: ribosomal RNA, 940 nt
Filed under: Staphylococcus pseudintermedius
Lineage: Bacteria; Bacillati; Bacillota; Bacilli; Caryophanales; Staphylococcaceae
Description: partial 23S ribosomal RNA
Rfam family: Bacterial large subunit ribosomal RNA
Source: RNAcentral